This is a long non-coding RNA of Zophobas morio, 248 nucleotides long. RefSeq lists it as uncharacterized. The transcript is spliced from 3 exons. NCBI's taxonomy places the organism in Eukaryota, Metazoa, Arthropoda, Insecta, Coleoptera, Tenebrionidae. The record is from RefSeq and is a predicted model, not a curated record.
UAUAAAUUAAGAUAAAAAAUAAGUCUUUCUUAAACUUUAAGUUGGAGAAAUAUAUAGAAAAAGUGGACAGACACAGUGUUAGGCGACCAGAAAAAAAAUGACUGCCUUUUUCUAAAAUUAAAACUGAAGCCGAGUUGAAUACAAAAGAGGAUAUUAAUAGGAGAGCUAGACGCUUGUUAAAUAAGUUAACUCCGGAUAAAUAUGAUAUUGUUGAACAGUUAUUAAAGCUUCCUUUUCUUGAGCUACCU